This 253-nucleotide ribosomal RNA is filed under the name uncultured bacterium. RNAcentral describes it as "partial 16S ribosomal RNA". It matches the Rfam family "Bacterial small subunit ribosomal RNA", at positions 524 to 776 of the family's 1533-position model. The record is from RNAcentral.
UACAGAGGUGGCAAGCGUUGUUCGGAAUUACUGGGCGUAAAGGGCGCGUAGGCGGUCUUGCAAGUCCUGUGUGAAAUCCCUCGGCUCAACUGAGGAACUGCACAGGAAACUGCUUGGCUUGAGUUCGGGAGAGGGAAGCGGAAUUCCGGGUGUAGCGGUGAAAUGCGUAGAUAUCGGGAGGAACACCAGUGGCGAAGGCGGCUUCCUGGCCUGUUCUUGACGCUGAGGCGCGAAAGCUAGGGGAGCAAACGGG